Ooceraea biroi (clonal raider ant) is the source of this 836-nucleotide long non-coding RNA. RefSeq lists it as uncharacterized. Lineage: Eukaryota; Metazoa; Arthropoda; Insecta; Hymenoptera; Formicidae. The record is from RefSeq and is a predicted model, not a curated record.
GGAUAUAUGGAGAUUUUGUUUGUUAUAAUUACGUAAAAGCUAUUUAAAAAAUUUUUUCAUUGAAAAUGAUUUAUGUAUCAUACGUCCUUUUAUGUGAUUAUUAUAUGUCAUGUCCAUUUAUGUGAUGUGAUGAUUCUUUUGUAAGUGAAACAAAAAAAGUUGUACCUAUUUUAUUUUUAAAUUUAUGUUUUUAUUUAUACAUUUACAUUUCGCGGAAAAAUAACAUAAUUAUUGCGCGCGCCGGCAUCGAGCGCGCGUUCGCAUGAUCGGUAGACAAGAGAUAGAAAAGACUAUAUAUUGUUUUCUUCUACGCUAAACAUUCGACGUCGAAGCAUCGGUCUGUUGAUUGUCGAGCGCAGUGGAACGCACAUGUUUGUACACGUUCGUGUAUUAUGCAGCCGGGUUUUCUUUUGUGUGUGCCUAGGCUAUCUUGCGAGUAUUGGCGCUUUAGUUAAUUGAAUUAUUAACCUUAUUUCCCAUUAUUGCCUUGAACGGAAAGCUGUUCUGUUCCGCAAAAAGAAGAAGAGCUCGGGUUCGAUUUCAUCAUCAUCUCUCCCUCUCUCUCUCUCUCUCUCUCUCUCUCUACAGAAGGUGGGAAAAGCCAGUUCAUUAAGACGUUCAUCUCCAAGACGUUCACCUUGUAAUAUUGUACUAAGUUCGAAAAGUUCCUCAUCAAGAGGAACUGAGUCUUCACAGCGCUUACAUGACAUUCCAUUAAAUACUUCACUUAGGCACUCAUCAGAUUUGUUUCGUGUUAUUAUUACAAAAUUAGGAGCAUUAGAAAACUCAAUGAAUAUACUUCUUCCAAUGGUGAAGCAACUUAUAGUACACUUCCG